UGGGCAGAAGCGCCAGAGGGCGAGGUCCCCAGGGCGGGUGGCAGAGGAGGGCUUCGUGGAGGUGGUGGGACUUACGGAGUCUCGGGAAGGAUGGGCGGGGUGUGGAGAAACGAAGCGGGAGCUGCAGAGCGGCGCUCUGAGCACCUGCUCCGAUGGGAGAGUCGGAGGGGGAGUCGGAGCCAGCCUGGGGAGGGCACGAUGCGCAUCGUCCCCCAACAGAGAGGCCCGGGCCUCGAAUGACACAGCUCUUUGGCUUUCACUGCCCCGCGGGAUCCUGGGGCACGGGAACUACCAGCAGGCCAGGCUGGGAAAGGGUCACUUGGUAAUCAUUGUCAGACCAUUCCUCCCUGCUGGUAAUUUUCUCUCAGCAGCCCUGUCAGCGAUCUGGCUUCCCCUGAAUACUCCAGUUUUACACACAGUUCUGUAAAAGUCUGAACCCCAGCUGUGGGCAGGGAGCUGGGCCCCAGACAGUUUCCUAGGUAAAGUCUUGUUGAGUUUUCCUGAACUUGAUGACAGUUACAGAGGUGUUCUCCAACCCAGGAGCCACCGACGUUUGUGAGCGAGAGCAGACACUGGCCCACAGAUGGUUUUGUUUGGGCAGCACAGAGAUUUUAUUAUUGUUGUUUGGGCAGCCAGGGUUUUUUUUUGUUGUUGUUGUUUUAUUUUUUAGCCAGAAUUUAAAUGUCACAAUACAAUCUCUCCUUGUUAAGUAACACCCAGCCACUUCUUCACACACAUUUGUUACCUGCCUGACAUCUGAAGUCAUUUGUGUUUGUGACCCUUAAUCUUCUUUAAAUACACAGAAGACCUCUGGGGAGUUACCUCAUCUGACAGGCUGAGACUUGGGACUUUCCCCACCAUCACAUCCUACUGGACAGAGAAAGGGGCCAAGUCCAAACAGGCAACCAGGUCAGGCAGAGAACCAGGGUGCCAGAUCCAAGGAAAGGAGCUUGAAAGAAAAAUCAAGGCCAAGUGAAUAAGGACUCGGAAAGAUUCGCAGUUUUUCAUGCCAGGAGAACAGUUUGGCUAGCACACUGCUAUUGGCGCAUGGCCACUGCAUACUAAAUGCUUCACCGCUGACAUUGGAUGCCGCUGCAGUAAAUUAUUUCUCAGCUGACCUUUCACUGGAAGGAUCCGCAUGUGCCCCAGCUCCACUUCCAGGGUGUGGGGCCAGAAAGUACCUGACACAUUCAGCUACUGAGAUGAGCAAGGUGAAGUGACCAGCCCAGCGACACACAGCUAGUGGCAACGGCAGCCGCAGACUGCAGGCCUCCUCACCACACUGCCUGCUGGAACACAGGGAGUUUUUGUUACUUUCCCCAUGGAGGAGGUGCUGCUAAAGAGGGCUGCUCCCUUGGAGACCAUGUGGAGCCCUGUAAAGUGGUAAGUAUAUGUAUAUUCAUUCUAAGACUUAAGGGCGUGCUGCCAGAGUUUCGGUGUCCCACUCUGUAGAAGAAGAUUCAUUACUCUUUUAUUGAGAGAAAACUGAUAACAGAAAACCCUCUACACAUUUGUGCUGUUAGAUUAAAGCUGCCUCUUAGCAUCACCCCAGAGUCCUGGGGAUGUCGGUGUGAGCUUGAAGCUUCAUCCAUUUGUCAUUCCUUGCUUCUAGUUGUUCCACAGAUAUUUACUGACUGCCUAUUAGGUGGUAAGUUAAGUGACAUCAUAACAGUAUCAGGAUUGGGGCAACCAGAGGGAGCUGGGAUCUUUUUCUGGGCCUCUGGAGAAGGGACAAGGAGCCACAGGCCCUGAAACUCAGGCCAGGCAGCCGCUACCUAUGGAAAGAGAUUAUCUGUUUUUUUUUUCUUGAUGGAAUAUUAAAAAUUUGGUAUGAAAUGAUAAGUUUAUUGUUCCCUAUUGUUGUUGUUGAGUUGGGACUCAUGGCACCCCCUUGUAUAAUAGAACGAAAUGUUGUCCAGUCUGCACCAUCUUCAGGAUCAUUAGUCUGUUCAAGUCCAUUGUUGUGGCCAUUGUAUAUUUUGAGUGCUUCCCAUUCUAAGGGGCUCAUCUUCCAGCGUUAUAUCAGCAAAUAUUCUGUUCUGAUCUGCGAUAUGAUUAAUUACUUUUGUAUGUGGCCUUUCUAGUCAUGGUCUUGUAAUUCCCACCCAGGUGAUUGUAUGAUAGGGUAAUUGUGGCCUACCCCUGUGUGGAUCAUAGCAAAUUAUGGAUAACAUUGCGAAGAAUGGGAAUUCCAGAACACUUAAUUGUACUCAUGAGGAACCUUUACAUAGAUGUAGAGGCAGUUGUUCGGACAGAACAAGGGCAUACUGACUGGUUUAAAGUCAGGAAAGGUGUGUAUUAUUUCACCAUACCUAUUCAGUCUGUAUGGUGAGCAAAUAAUCCGAGAAGCUGGACUGUAUGAAGAAGAACGGGGCAUCAGGAUUGGAGGAAGACUCAUUAACAACCUGCGUUAUGCAGGUGACACGACCUUGCUUGCUGAAAGUGAAAAGGACUUGAAGCACUUACUAACGAAGAUCAAAGACCACAGCCUUCAGUAUGGAUUGCACCUCAACAUAAAGAAAACAAAAAUCCUCACAACUGGACUAAUGAGCAACAUCAUGAUAAACGGAGAAAAGAUGGAAGUUGUCAAGGAUUUCAUUUUAUUUGGAUCCACAAUCAACAGUCAUGGAAGCAGCAGUCAAGAAAUCAAAAGACACAUUGCAUUGGGUAAAUCUGCUGCAAAGGACCUCUUUAAAGUGUUGAAGAGCAAAGAUGUCACCUUGAAGACUAAGUUGUGCCUGACCCAAGCCAUGGUAUUUUCAAUUGCAUCAUAUGCAUGUGAAAGCUGGACAAUGAAUAAGGAAGACCGAAGAAGAAUUGAUGCCUUUGAAUUGUGGUGUUGGCGAAGAAUAUUGAAUAUACCAUGGACUGCCAAAAGAACAAACAAAUCUGUCUUGGAGGAAGUACAACCAGAAUGCUCCUUAGAAGCAAGGAUGGCGAGACUAUGUCUUACAUACUUUGGACGUCGUGUCAGAAGGGAUCAGUCCCUGGAGAAGGACAUCAUUCUUGGCAGAGUACAGGGUCAGGGGAAAAGGGGAAGACCCUCAACGAGGUGGAUUGACACAGUGGCUGCAACAAUGAGCUCAAGCAUAAUAACGAUUGUAAGGAUACUCAGGACCGGGCAGUGUUUCAUUCUGUUGUGCAUAGGGUCACUAUGAGUUGGAACUGACUUGACGGCACUUAACAACAACACAACAACAAGGGGAUUGGUCAGUUUUGCCUUAAAAGAGAGAGCCAAUUCUAGAACAGAGAGCAGGCGCCUAUCACCACCAAGGAAGGAGAGACCAGCAGGAGAGACCCUGCAGCAGGCAACUGUGUAGUGGGCUUCCCAGGCCACAGAGAGAGAAAGCUGAGUGCCUUUGGGCAGAGACUGAAGGCCAUGGAGAGGUGUGCCUGUGAGCACCGCUGGGGAGAGGUUAUCCUGAUGGAAGAACUGCAUCCUGAGUGUUUUUUUUUUUUUUUUGUACUUUUGAUGAAGGCUUACAGAACAAACUAGUUUCUCAUUAAACAGUUAGUACACAGAUUGUUUUAUGACAUUGUUUAACAACCCCAUGACGUGUCAGCACUCACCCCUCUCAACCUUGGAUUCCCAAUCACCAGCUUUCCUGUCCUCUUCUGCCUUCUAGUCCUUGUCCCUGGGCUGGUGUGCCCCCCAGUCUUGUUUUGUUUUAUGGGCCUGUCCGAUCUUUGGCUGAAGGGUGAACUUCAGGAGUGACUUCAUUACUGAGUUGAAAGGGCUGAGAGUUCUUAAACCUGAAUUGUAACUAUUACUUCCCUAAUAAAUUCCGUAAUCAUGAGUAUGAUUUGUGAAUUGUGUGUGGCCAUUGCAAUGAAUUAUUGAACCCAGUAGAGAGUGCUAUAGGAGGGAGAGUUGGUGUCAGAAUUGGUAAAGAUGGCAGAGAGAGGAGGUGUGUUGGACUUCCACCUCAUAGAAGUCAGCCUUGGGUUGUUGAUCUUGGUUCUCCUUCCCCCUUGUGGGGUUGGAAGAGGUCAGACACCUCCCUCAAGCCAUUUUUACAUGAUUCCUAAGGUUCCCAUUGGCUAAUAUUCGAAAGUAGAUCUCCAAGCCCUUCUUCCUAGUCUGUCUUAGUCUACAAGUUAUCUACCGUGGGAGACCCUGCUGGUAUUUGAAAUACUGGUGGCAUAGCUUCCAGUAUCAUAGCAACAUGCAAGCCACCACAGUAUGACAAACUGACCGACAAGUGCUGGAGUUGCCAUGAGUCAGAAUUGACUCAACCACAAUUGUUUUCUUUGUUCCCUGUUGUUGUGUGCUGUGGAGUUGAUUUCAACUCAUAGUGACCCUACAGGACAGAGUAGAACUGCCCCAUAGGGUUUCCAAGGCUAUAAAUCUUUAUGGAAGCAUAAUGCCACAUCUUUCUCCCAUGGGGCAGCUGGUGGGUUUGAACUGCUGACCUCUUGGUUAGCAGUCGAGUGCUUAACCACUGUGGCACCAGGGCUCCUUUUAUUGUU
Long non-coding RNA from Loxodonta africana (African savanna elephant), 4470 nucleotides. RefSeq lists it as uncharacterized. The record is from RefSeq and is a predicted model, not a curated record. The transcript has 4 exons. Lineage: Eukaryota; Metazoa; Chordata; Mammalia; Proboscidea; Elephantidae.